CGGGGCCCUGCGUUACUGGGGCACCGAGGGAGCUCGUGGGUGCUGCCAGCCCCCGUGUGGCACUGAGCGAGUCCACCUUCCCGUCCCCGUUACCUUCUACUUCAUCAGCUUCUGUGAGCGUGUCUGGUUUCUCACUGUGAGGGUGGAGCUCACCCGAAAAGUCCUAAAGGGUUUUGCUUCCUGCAUCCUGAAGACCUCGCCCCGAGCAGCUUCAGCUGCGCUUCCAGAGUCGCCUGCCAGACAGAGUUUUUGUUGGACUGAACGAUGAAACAUCCUGAGCACAAAGCACCAUAGUGCUGCUUCCUGGAUGGAGAAGAUAAGCCCGUGUUCCACGCCAGAAUGUGACUUCCUGGUGAUACGCAGAGUCCGAGAAGCAGCGGCCAGACUCUUGGGGACCAGAGCCUCACUGGACCACGCUCUCCAGAUUCCAGGUGGAAAGACGCGGCAGAGCAGCUCUGUUCCUGACGAUCAGAGAGGAAGGACACAAGACAAGAGCCAUUCUUCCCUGGAACGCGUCACCGUCUUGAAGGACCCACUGGAAUCUUGAUUUUAUGCCCAGGAAACCUCUCCCGUGCUGACCCCCCGCCAGCUGCAAGACCCUCCAGCACGAAGCACGGGUCACCUGAGUGCCCCUGAAACAGCACCCGGGGGAGUGUUAAAGUGCCUUCGUCCCUUCUAUGGAACCAGAGGGCCUGCAGGUGAUUGAAUGCGAGCAAACAGUGGAUCUUCACCCAUGCCCGACUGGCACCCACGCGUGGCAGCGGCGGGACCCUGGCCCCCUCCCGUGGGCUCUGAGGCCAAGGGCUUCUUCGAAGCAAAACCUACCCACAACACCAGGGCACAGGGUGGGGCUGUGUCUGAGUGAGAGGUCCGCACUGCUGUGUUUCUUGUUUUCUCUUCUUC
Balaenoptera ricei (Rice's whale) is the source of this 903-nucleotide long non-coding RNA. RefSeq lists it as uncharacterized. NCBI's taxonomy places the organism in Eukaryota, Metazoa, Chordata, Mammalia, Artiodactyla, Balaenopteridae. The record is from RefSeq and is a predicted model, not a curated record. The transcript is spliced from 3 exons.